RNAcentral lists this ribosomal RNA (441 nucleotides) under uncultured bacterium. RNAcentral's name for it is "partial 16S ribosomal RNA". It matches the Rfam family "Bacterial small subunit ribosomal RNA", at positions 338 to 795 of the family's 1533-position model. The record is from RNAcentral.
CCUACGGGUGGCAGCAGUGGGGGAUAUUGCACAAUGGGGGAAACCCUGAUGCAGCGACGCCGCGUGGGUGAAGAAGUAUUUCGGUAUGUAAAGCCCUAUCAGCAGGGAAGAAAGAAGACGGUACCUGACUAAUAAGCCCCGGCUAACUACGUGCCAGCAGCCGCGGUAAUACGUAGGGUGCGAGCGUUAUCCGGAUUCACUGGGUGUAAAGGGAGCGUAGACGGCCGUGCAAGCCAGGAGUGAAAGCCCGGGGCCCAACCCCGGGACUGCUCUUGGAACUGUGCGGCUGGAGUGCGGGAGGGGCAGGCGGAAUGCCUGGUGUAGCGGUGAAAUGCGUAGAUAUCAGGAGGAACACCGGCGGCGAAGGCGGCCUGCUGGACCGCGACUGACGUUGAGGCUCGAAAGCGUGGGGAGCGAACAGGAUUAGAUACCCGGGUAGUC